UGGGCGGUUCGCUGCCCGCGACGUUGUGAGAAGUCCACUGAACCUUAUCAUUUAGAGGAAGGAGAAGUCGUAACAAGGUUUCCGUAGGUGAACCUGCGGAAGGAUCAUUG
RNAcentral lists this ribosomal RNA (110 nucleotides) under Pictetia marginata. Its description in RNAcentral is "partial 18S ribosomal RNA". It matches the Rfam family "Eukaryotic small subunit ribosomal RNA", at positions 1707 to 1831 of the family's 1831-position model. Lineage: Eukaryota; Viridiplantae; Streptophyta; Magnoliopsida; Fabales; Fabaceae. The record is from RNAcentral.